This 518-nucleotide ribosomal RNA is filed under the name uncultured bacterium. Its description in RNAcentral is "bacterial SSU rRNA". It matches the Rfam family "Bacterial small subunit ribosomal RNA", at positions 28 to 526 of the family's 1533-position model. The record is from RNAcentral.
GAUGAACGCUGGCGGCGUGCCUAACACAUGCAAGUCGAGCGAGAAAUUCAGGAGUAAAGCUUCGGUUGAGCGAAUGAAUGGAAAGCGGCGGACGGGUGAGUAACGCGUAGGCAACCUGCCCCUGACAGAGGGAUAGCCUCGGGAAACUGGGAUUAAAACCUCAUAAAGCGAGAGGUUCACAUGAACUUUUCGCCAAAGAUUUAUCGGUCAGGGAUGGGCCUGCGUCUGAUUAGCUAGUUGGUGGGGUAACGGCUCACCAAGGCAACGAUCAGUAGCCGACCUGAGAGGGUAAUCGGCAACAUUGGAACUGAGACACGGUCCAAACUCCUACGGGAAGCGGCAGUGAGGAAUAUUGGUCAAUGGACGAGAGUCUGAACCAGCCAAGUCGCGUGAAGGAUGACUGCCCUAUGGGUUGUAAACUUCUUUUAUGUGGGAAUAAAAAAGGGAACGUGUUCCCUAUUGCAUGUACCACUAUGAAUAAGCAUCGGCUAACUCCGUGCCAGCCGCCGCAGUAAAAC